AGCAGCCGCGGUAAUUCCAGCUCCAAUAGCGUAUAUUAAAGUUGUUGCAGUUAAAAAGCUCGUAGUUGAAUUUCGGGGUUAGUAGGUUGGUCAUGCCUCUGGUAUGUACUGGUCUCACUGAUUCCUCCUUCCUGAUGAGCCGUAAUGCCAUUAAUUUGGUGUUGCGGGGAAUUUGGACUGUUACUUUGAAAAAAUUAGAGUGUUUAAAGCAAGCUAACGCUUGAAUACAUUAGCAUGGAAUAAUGAAAUAGGACGUUCGAUCCUAUUUUGUUGGUUUCUAGGAUUGACGUAAUGAUUAAUAGGGAUAGUUGGGGGCAUUAGUAUUCAAUUGUCAGAGGUGAAAUUCUUGGAUUUAUUGAAGACUAACUACUGCGAAAGCAUUUGCCAAGGAUGUUUUCAUUAAUCAAGAACGAAAGUUAGGGGAUCGAAGACGAUCAGAUACCGUCGUAGUCUUAACCAUAAGCUAUGCCGACUAGGGAUCGGAUGAUGUUAAUUUUUUUUUAAUGACUCAUUCGGCGCC
This 520-nucleotide unclassified non-coding RNA is filed under the name uncultured Archaeospora. Its description in RNAcentral is "SSU rRNA". It matches the Rfam family "Eukaryotic small subunit ribosomal RNA", at positions 569 to 1087 of the family's 1831-position model. Lineage: Eukaryota; Fungi; Glomeromycota; Glomeromycetes; Archaeosporales; Archaeosporaceae. The record is from RNAcentral.